GAGGGUGGAUUUCAGGGGUAGAGCGUGUGCUUAGCAUGCAUGAGGUCCUGGGUUCAAUCCCCAGUACCUCCA
This 72-nucleotide transfer RNA is filed under the name Camelus ferus (Wild Bactrian camel). It matches the Rfam family "tRNA". From Rfam's summary of the family: Transfer RNA (tRNA) molecules are approximately 80 nucleotides in length. Lineage: Eukaryota; Metazoa; Chordata; Mammalia; Artiodactyla; Camelidae. The record is from Rfam by way of RNAcentral.